GAUGAACGCUGGCGGCGUGCCUAAUACAUGCAAGUCGAGCGAACAGAUGAGGAGCUUGCUCCUCUGACGUUAGCGGCGGACGGGUGAGUAACACGUGGAUAACCUACCUAUAAGACUGGGAUAACUUCGGGAAACCGGAGCUAAUACCGGAUAAUAUAUUGAACCGCAUGGUUCAAUAGUGAAAGACGGUUUUGCUGUCACUUAUAGAUGGAUCCGCGCCGCAUUAGCUAGUUGGUAAGGUAACGGCUUACCAAGGCAACGAUGCGUAGCCGACCUGAGAGGGUGAUCGGCCACACUGGAACUGAGACACGUUCCAGACUCCUACGGGAGGCAGCAGUAGGGAAUCUUCCGCAAUGGGCGAAAGCCUGACGGAGCAACGCCGCGUGAGUGAUGAAGGUCUUCGGAUCGUAAAACUCUGUUAUUAGGGAAGAACAAAUGUGUAAGUAACUAUGCACGUCUUGACGGUACCUAAUCAGAAAGCCACGGCUAACUACGU
This 496-nucleotide ribosomal RNA is filed under the name uncultured bacterium. RNAcentral describes it as "partial 16S ribosomal RNA". It matches the Rfam family "Bacterial small subunit ribosomal RNA", at positions 28 to 506 of the family's 1533-position model. The record is from RNAcentral.